Molecule: ribosomal RNA, 1219 nt
Filed under: Campylobacter lanienae
Lineage: Bacteria; Pseudomonadati; Campylobacterota; Epsilonproteobacteria; Campylobacterales; Campylobacteraceae
Description: bacterial SSU rRNA
Rfam family: Bacterial small subunit ribosomal RNA
Source: RNAcentral
CUCUCGGCAUAGGAUGAGACUAUAUUGUAUCAGCUAGUUGGUGAGGUAAUGGCUCACCAAGGCUAUGACGCAUAACUGGUCUGAGAGGAUGAUCAGUCACACUGGAACUGAGACACGGUCCAGACUCCUACGGGAGGCAGCAGUAGGGAAUAUUGCUCAAUGGGGGAAACCCUGAAGCAGCAACGCCGCGUGGAGGAUGACACUUUUCGGAGCGUAAACUCCUUUUCUUAGGGAAGAAAUUUGACGGUACCUAAGGAAUAAGCACCGGCUAACUCCGUGCCAGCAGCCGCGGUAAUACGGAGGGUGCAAGCGUUACUCGGAAUCACUGGGCGUAAAGGACGCGUAGGCGGAUUAUCAAGUCUUUUGUGAAAUCUAAUGGCUCAACCAUUAAACUGCUUGAGAAACUGAUAAUCUAGAGUGAGGGAGAGGCAGAUGGAAUUGGUGGUGUAGGGGUAAAAUCCGUAGAGAUCACCAGGAAUACCCAUUGCGAAGGCGAUCUGCUAGAACUCAACUGACGCUAAUGCGUGAAAGCGUGGGGAGCAAACAGGAUUAGAUACCCUGGUAGUCCACGCCCUAAACGAUGUAUACUAGUUGUUGCUGUGCUAGUCAUGGCAGUAAUGCACCUAACGGAUUAAGUAUACCGCCUGGGGAGUACGGUCGCAAGAUUAAAACUCAAAGGAAUAGACGGGGACCCGCACAAGCGGUGGAGCAUGUGGUUUAAUUCGAAGAUACGCGAAGAACCUUACCUGGGCUUGAUAUCCUAAGAACCUUGUAGAGAUACGAGGGUGCUAGCUUGCUAGAACUUAGUGACAGGUGCUGCACGGCUGUCGUCAGCUCGUGUCGUGAGAUGUUCGGUUAAGUCCGGCAACGAGCGCAACCCACGUAUUUAGUUGCUAACAGUUUGGCUGAGCACUCUAAAUAUACUGCCUUCGUAAGGAGGAGGAAGGUGUGGACGACGUCAAGUCAUCAUGGCCCUUAUGCCCAGGGCGACACACGUGCUACAAUGGCAUAUACAAUGAGACGCAAUAUCGUGAGAUGGAGCAAAUCUAUAAAAUAUGUCCCAGUUCGGAUUGUUCUCUGCAACUCGAGAGCAUGAAGCCGGAAUCGCUAGUAAUCGUAGAUCAGCCAUGCUACGGUGAAUACGUUCCCGGGUCUUGUACUCACCGCCCGUCACACCAUGGGAGUUGAUUUCACUCGAAGUCGGAAUGCUAAACUAGCU